This 76-nucleotide transfer RNA is filed under the name Trichonephila inaurata madagascariensis. It matches the Rfam family "tRNA". Rfam says of the family: Transfer RNA (tRNA) molecules are approximately 80 nucleotides in length. Their secondary structure includes four short double-helical elements and three loops (D, anti-codon, and T loops). The record is from Rfam by way of RNAcentral. Lineage: Eukaryota; Metazoa; Arthropoda; Arachnida; Araneae; Nephilidae.
ACCUCCGUGGCGCAAUCGGCUAGCACGUUCGGCUGUUAACCGAAAGGUUGGUUGGUUUCGAGCCCACCCUGGGGGA